This 474-nucleotide ribosomal RNA is filed under the name Fusarium oxysporum. Its description in RNAcentral is "eukaryotic LSU rRNA". The stretch from base 108 to 261 matches the Rfam family "5.8S ribosomal RNA". Lineage: Eukaryota; Fungi; Ascomycota; Sordariomycetes; Hypocreales; Nectriaceae. The record is from RNAcentral.
UUGCCUCGGCGGAUCAGCCCGCUCCCGGUAAAACGGGACGGCCCGCCAGAGGACCCCUAAACUCUGUUUCUAUAUGUAACUUCUGAGUAAAACCAUAAAUAAAUCAAAACUUUCAACAACGGAUCUCUUGGUUCUGGCAUCGAUGAAGAACGCAGCAAAAUGCGAUAAGUAAUGUGAAUUGCAGAAUUCAGUGAAUCAUCGAAUCUUUGAACGCACAUUGCGCCCGCCAGUAUUCUGGCGGGCAUGCCUGUUCGAGCGUCAUUUCAACCCUCAAGCACAGCUUGGUGUUGGGACUCGCGUUAAUUCGCGUUCCCCAAAUUGAUUGGCGGUCACGUCGAGCUUCCAUAGCGUAGUAGUAAAACCCUCGUUACUGGUAAUCGUCGCGGCCACGCCGUUAAACCCCAACUUCUGAAUGUUGACCUCGGAUCAGGUAGGAAUACCCGCUGAACUUAAGCAUAUCAAUAAGCGGAGGAA